This is a non-coding RNA of Acanthosepion pharaonis, 97 nucleotides long. NCBI's taxonomy places the organism in Eukaryota, Metazoa, Mollusca, Cephalopoda, Sepiida, Sepiidae. The record is from the annotation of a GenBank genome assembly.
GACCACGUUAAAACAUCUGUUCCCGUACAAUCACCGAAGUUAAGCAACGUUGAGCCAGGUUAGUGUCUAGAUGGGUGACCGCGCGGUAAUAUCAGAU